Molecule: long non-coding RNA, 706 nt
Filed under: Oryzias sinensis (Chinese medaka)
Lineage: Eukaryota; Metazoa; Chordata; Actinopteri; Beloniformes; Adrianichthyidae
Description: lncRNA (ENSOSIG00000006027.1)
Source: RNAcentral
AUGCAGCAUUUGCCUCCUGCAGAUGUGGCAGCGUAGAAGAGCGGCAAAAAGAGAUUUUUAUGAUCAGCUCCAACACCUGAAUCCAGAUAAAAAUGUUUGCCAGCCGUGGUGGCAGUGGAGGGGGAAAAGGGGGCAAAUAUUCAGUAGAGGAUCUCUAUGGCAUCACCAAGAAGCCAAAGGCAUCCACCUCAUCUGGGAGCAUCGCUCCCAAAUCUGGCACCCGGAGCAGUAAAACCCCAGACCCGAAGAGCGAGUCGGAGGCCUUCGCUUCACAGAUCCUGGAGGCAGCUCACCGGCUGGUGGAGCGAAGGAGACUGGAGCUUUACCUGCGGGAAUGUGGCCUCUCCCUGGCCGAGUGUGAGGCUGGCCACUCUGCAAUGACGUACAGUUUCUGCUUGAGGUGCAGGUUUUGUCACCGUGGGAAUCCUGGAAAUAAGGUGCUUUAUGGUUAAUAGUUUUUGCAGUUUAUAGAAGCUUAUAGUCACACAAAAACAAAAUAAAUGAGAUGCUUUGGUGCUGAGAUUUCACUAAAUCACCCUUUAUGCACCUGUAAAAGGAGAAAAAAAAACUGUCAUCCUCUAUACUGUUUUAUUUCUUGAGAGUUUCCAUUCAUCACAAUAAUGUUCUGCAUGGAAUGUCCUGGCAUUUUAGUUUUAGAACAAAUGUAAACAUGUUAAACCGAUUUAUUGAUAGUUUCUGAUGUGAG